Molecule: unclassified non-coding RNA, 253 nt
Filed under: uncultured Alphaproteobacteria bacterium
Lineage: Bacteria; Pseudomonadati; Pseudomonadota; Alphaproteobacteria
Description: contains 16S-23S intergenic spacer region
Rfam family: Bacterial small subunit ribosomal RNA
Source: RNAcentral
UACGAAGGGGGCUAGCGUUGUUCGGAAUUACUGGGCGUAAAGCGCGCGUAGGCGGUGUUCCAUGUCAGAGGUGAAAUCCCGGGGCUCAACUCCGGAAUUGCCUUUGAAACGGGGACGCUUGAGUCCGAGAGAGGAUGGCGGAAUUCCUAGUGUAGAGGUGAAAUUCGUAGAUAUUAGGAAGAACACCGGUGGCGAAGGCGGCCAUCUGGCUCGGUACUGACGCUCAGGCGCGAAAGCGUGGGGAGCAAACAGG